CAAAUGAAUCAAGUGUUUAGAUGCAUUACUGGGCAAUUCUCUAUUGGCAGUUGGCUGCAGGGAGGAGCAACCUAGCUCACUGCCAAAGGAGAUUUGCCCGGCAAUUCAUCUGUGCAAUCAUCCUAAUAUUU
This 131-nucleotide microRNA precursor is filed under the name Citrus sinensis (sweet orange). RNAcentral describes it as "miR399e stem-loop (csi-MIR399e)". Its record names the gene csi-MIR399e. The stretch from base 19 to 111 matches the Rfam family "mir-399 microRNA precursor family". Rfam says of the family: mir-399 was identified in both Arabidopsis thaliana and Oryza sativa computationally and was later experimentally verified. mir-399 is thought to target mRNAs coding for a phosphatase transporter. The record is from miRBase by way of RNAcentral. Lineage: Eukaryota; Viridiplantae; Streptophyta; Magnoliopsida; Sapindales; Rutaceae.